GGGGUCAUGGUCCAGCGGGAAGACAUUGCCAUGGCAUGGCAAGGACCCGAGUUCGAAUCUCGGUGACUCCAC
Molecule: transfer RNA, 72 nt
Filed under: Pirellula sp. SH-Sr6A
Lineage: Bacteria; Pseudomonadati; Planctomycetota; Planctomycetia; Pirellulales; Pirellulaceae
Description: tRNA-Ala
Rfam family: tRNA
About the family: Transfer RNA (tRNA) molecules are approximately 80 nucleotides in length. Their secondary structure includes four short double-helical elements and three loops (D, anti-codon, and T loops).
Source: RNAcentral